CUGAGGCUGCAGGGAAGAAAUCUG
This 24-nucleotide non-coding RNA is filed under the name Cricetulus griseus (Chinese hamster). Lineage: Eukaryota; Metazoa; Chordata; Mammalia; Rodentia; Cricetidae. The record is from RNAcentral.